Molecule: long non-coding RNA, 587 nt
Organism: Mus musculus (house mouse)
Lineage: Eukaryota; Metazoa; Chordata; Mammalia; Rodentia; Muridae
Product: predicted gene, 41563
Exons: 3
Source: RefSeq, a predicted model, not a curated record
CCUGGCUUCUCUUUUGUAAAUGUCCUUUCUUUGUCACUUGGUCCAAGUCACUACAAGAUUUCUAUUCUGAUGUUCUGGGACAAACUGCCUGCUGGGGGAUGUGGCAGACCUGGACCUACCUCAUCCAUUCUCCUGCACCUUCCCCCCAGACAACUCCAUUUGACCAGAAGUUGGGAUGCAUCAGCAGAUGGAGUAAGGAAUGAGUCUGGCUCCCAGUUAGUAAGACCAGGAAACCCACACCAGGAUGUGACAGGAAAUCCCCCCAAGGGGCUUUCCCAGGUCAGACCUGGGCUGGCUUCAUCCCAAUUUGGACAUGAACAGUCUCCAGGGCACAGGAUGGAAACCCCUUCCCUCCUACAUCCCACGCCACGUCCAGCUGAUCAAGGCCUCAACUCUGCCUCCUGGAGGAACACAGAAGAUGCCCCCCUGCAUUCUCUAGGCUGCAUAGCUGUUGUGGAGAACAGCCUGUAGUGGGAAGAAAGCUCCGCGUGUUUCUAAGACUCUGGUUGGAUUUCUUGGUUUAAAGUCUGUCGGUCACUGGGACACGGGGGAAGAAAGAAUAAAGUCGUUUCCAGAUGUCAACAGCU